AUACCCAAUUAUAAUAUUUACAUUAUACAUAUAUUUAUAUGAUCAUAUUAUUUACCUUUUAGCGUUACUUCUGAAAUCUCACGUCAUAGCUCGUGACCUAUACGAGACACUAGACGUUACUAAUCUUUCUAGAAGACGUGUUGUAGCAAUCUAAUUAUUUAAAAACUUACCAUAGAGAUAAUUUAAUAAAUAUUCAAAUAUAAAAAAAUUACCUAAAAUAAUAUUAUUCCAAAGCUCAUAUCAUAAUCUUAAUAAUUUUAUAAAACUUAGUUAAAGGUCAAUUGAAAUAUUAGCUAAGAUAAUAAGUUGAAACAAUAUAAAAGAAUUUUUUAAAAUAUGCUUAAAAGCCCUUCAAUAUAUUGUAUAAAAGAAUGAGUCUAAGAUUAAUAUAUUUAUUUAAGUGAAACUUUGGUCUGAUUUAAGUUUCAGCCUAGCCCCAAUUAUAGAAAACAUUUAAGGUUACUAGAACAGUUUCUGUAAAUACAACCAGCCCAGUAAAAUAAUCAAGCCCACAAGAAAUCAACUCACUUAACAAUUGAAACAAGUUUAUGAAAUAUACUAAAAUCAAGCCCAAAUUAAAACAAAAGUCCAUAUUAAUGAAACAUGUCUAAUAAACCUCAAGCCCAGCCCACAAGGAAAAUAGCCCACGUAUAUGAUCAGGUUUAAGACAUAAAGUCUGCCUAGUUACUAGAGGGUAAAGAGGUAACUUCACCAAAAGUACCUUUAUGAGGCAGUUUACGGAAAUGUUAGGUGCAGUGGGUUGAAGGGCAUUUGUGUAAUAACUAAAACUUGCAUGUGCUUUUCAGUAAAGUAAAAGAAAUAAAAGGAUAUGAACAAAGCAAUUAAACAUUUGCUGGAGAAAGCGGCCAGCGAUGGGAUCUAAGGCUUGCUAAGGAAAGGUAACAUGUGACAAGAGAGAGAGAAAAAAGGUGGCAGACUGCCGUGGCUUACCAGAUGGUGGGGUGUUCAACGAAGUGGUUGACUGGCAGAGUCUAUGCAGAUCUGAAGGUGCUCUAAUGAGGUGGCUGGGUCAAAAAAAAAAAGAAGGGGCUGCACGAGUGCUAUCUUUUUCUUUUCCCUCUUUGUCAACUAAAAUUUCUGAAUCAUUAAUCUGGAGGUCUGGUGAGAUUUUAUAAAGGUGAGGGAAAGAGCUUUACGAGAGUUUUUAGGAGAUUAGCUAGAGUUUUUAAGGGAUUAGCUAGAUCUGAUUUGGUUUUGAUCUUAGAAUCUUUUCAAAAAAUUUUUAAACCUAUCCGAUAAUAACAAAGAAUACAAGAUAAAAAGAAAGCACUUUAAAACUCUAAUUAAUCUGAUUCAUUAUCUUAUUUAAUAAAUAAAUAAUUAUAAGCAUCUGAAGAUAAAUUAUCUAUCAAAAAAGUAUCUGAAGAUAAAUAAAUAAGUAAUUAAAAAAAAAUAAAUAUAAAAAUAACAUAACUAAAUCAUUUCUAACUGAAUUAACCUAAAUUCUAGGUCCAUAGGUUACACAUGAUAUCAUCAGUCAGGAGCUUGAGACAAAAUAAUAAUGAAAGUCAUGUUUAUAAUCAUCUGUAUCUAUUUAGAUGAACUGAGCUUGGAUUCUUGCAGAGCAGGUAUGUCGGAGCCAACAUGUCGGCAAUUCUUUUUCAAAAGAUUUUGAAAAUAUGCAAAAUAAUUUUGGGGGUAUCGUUUCUCUUUUUGGAGACUUGUCCAUGAGGCAGGGAAUUUUAUUUGCUUUCGGCCUCUCUUUACUGUAAGGAAUACAAUAAUAGAUCAUUCCUAAGAAGGAUACGAAAAUAAAGAGAAAUAACUAUCCAUUCUUUGUAGAGAAAAAGAAACAUACUGAAUAUCAAGUCGCAUUAUAAGGUUCUCUUCUAAUAAGAGAUGCUUAUUCGAAUUA
Molecule: long non-coding RNA, 1876 nt
Organism: Carya illinoinensis
Lineage: Eukaryota; Viridiplantae; Streptophyta; Magnoliopsida; Fagales; Juglandaceae
Exons: 2
Source: RefSeq, a predicted model, not a curated record